This 253-nucleotide ribosomal RNA is filed under the name uncultured bacterium. RNAcentral's name for it is "partial 16S ribosomal RNA". It matches the Rfam family "Bacterial small subunit ribosomal RNA", at positions 524 to 776 of the family's 1533-position model. The record is from RNAcentral.
UACGUAGGUUGCAAGCGUUGUCCGGAUUUACUGGGCGUAAAGAGCGCGCAGGCGGUCGUUCAAGUCGCGUGUGAAAGCCCCCGGCUCAACUGGGGAGGGUCACGCGAUACUGAUCGACUCGAAGGCAGGAGAGGGUAGUGGAAUUCCCGGUGUAGUGGUGAAAUGCGUAGAUAUCGGGAGGAACACCAGUGGCGAAGGCGACUACCUGGCCUGUUCUUGACGCUGAGGCGCGAAAGCGAGGGGAGCAAACGGG